ACUCCUACGGGAGGCAGCAGUGGGGAAUAUUGCACAAUGGGCGCAAGCCUGAUGCAGCCAUGCCGCGUGUAUGAAGAAGGCCUUCGGUUGUAAAGUACUUUCAGCAGUGAGGAAGGUGGGUAUGUUAAUAGCAUACUCAUUUGACGUUAGCUGCAGAAGAAGCACCGGCUAACUCCGUGCCAGCAGCCGCGGUAAUACGGAGGGUGCGAGCGUUAAUCGGAAUUACUGGGCGUAAAGCGCAUGCAGGUGGUUUGUUAAGUCAGAUGUGAAAGCCCGGGGCUCAACCUCGGAAUUGCAUUUGAAACUGGCAAACUAGAGUACUGUAGAGGGGGUAGAA
This 337-nucleotide ribosomal RNA is filed under the name uncultured bacterium. RNAcentral describes it as "bacterial SSU rRNA". It matches the Rfam family "Bacterial small subunit ribosomal RNA", at positions 335 to 665 of the family's 1533-position model. The record is from RNAcentral.